This is a long non-coding RNA of Cebus imitator (Panamanian white-faced capuchin), 864 nucleotides long. RefSeq lists it as uncharacterized. The transcript is spliced from 4 exons. The record is from RefSeq and is a predicted model, not a curated record. NCBI's taxonomy places the organism in Eukaryota, Metazoa, Chordata, Mammalia, Primates, Cebidae.
AAUACUAACCUGCUGAAGAGCUGUCACUCCAACUUUCCAUCCUGGAAAUGUAUACAGAAGUUUACUACAAGAAGAAAAAUAGUUGAAAGCUUUUUUUUUGGAGGAAGACAAAAUCAGUUACACAUUUAAAAAAUGAAAUAAUAAUAGGUGAUAUUUAUGAAUUUCUUACUCUUCCACACAGUAUUCUGAUAAUUAAGCUAACGUCACAAGGCAAAACCUUUGGCAUAGAUAUUGACAGAUUUUAAGUUUUAACUAAACACAGACUACCCUAAGAUAAAGCAAAUAAAUUGUUAGCUCUUACCUUCUGAAUAUAUGUGCCAAAUAAUAAGAAUGCUGUCAGUAUCAACAGAGAUAAUGUGGUCUCCAAAGGGUUGCAAGAGAUGGAUUUCUGCCUUAUGACCCUUAAAGGACUUGGAUUAGGUCCUCAGAGGAAGAUUUUUGGAAAGCAGGCAUGUCCCAAUUUUCCUCAAGACGAAAGAAACUGCCUAUUCAGCCACACCCUGAGCUUCCCCGGACAAAGGCUGAGUCUUACUUUUCUAUCCCCAGUGCUUGGCUGAAGUCUUGUUCCACAGUGUGAGGAAGUUUCAAGAGGAGAGAGAGAGAAAAAAAAGUCAAGUGACAAAAUUUAAGAAAAGGAUGAUUGCAAUGCAUCCUGAGCUGCCUAUCUCCAAAUAUUCUUUCCCAUAAGCAGAACCAACAGGUAUAAAGGGGAGGAGUCAAUGGGCUCCAAGGAUGAGUGGAGGUAAAAAUUUCAAGAAAGAUAAUGUCCCUUAGAAAAGUAUGUGUGUAAAUUGUCUACGAACUAGAUUUGAAAGAUGAUUCAUAAGAAACGAAUUUGAGAAUUAUUUUAUUAAGAAAUAUAUA